GUGGGGAAUCUUGCGCAAUGGGCGAAAGCCUGACGCAGCCAUGCCGCGUGAAUGAUGAAGGUCUUAGGAUUGUAAAAUUCUUUCACCGGGGACGAUAAUGACGGUACCCGGAGAAGAAGCCCCGGCUAACUUCGUGCCAGCAGCCGCGGUAAUACGAAGGGGGCUAGCGUUGCUCGGAAUUACUGGGCGUAAAGGGCGCGUAGGCGGACAGUUUAGUCAGAGGUGAAAGCCCAGGGCUCAACCUUGGAAUUGCCUUUGAUACUGGCUGUCUUGAGUACGGGAGAGGUGAGUGGAACUCCGAGUGUGGAGGUGAAAUUCGUAGAUAUUCGGAAGAACACCAGUGGCGAAGGCGACUCACUGGCCCGUUACUGACGCUGAGGCGCGAAAGCGUGGGGAGCAAACAGGAUUAGAUACCCCUGUAGUCC
This 425-nucleotide ribosomal RNA is filed under the name uncultured bacterium. RNAcentral's name for it is "partial 16S ribosomal RNA". It matches the Rfam family "Bacterial small subunit ribosomal RNA", at positions 354 to 796 of the family's 1533-position model. The record is from RNAcentral.